Molecule: ribosomal RNA, 1767 nt
Filed under: Durio zibethinus
Lineage: Eukaryota; Viridiplantae; Streptophyta; Magnoliopsida; Malvales; Malvaceae
Description: SSU rRNA
Rfam family: Eukaryotic small subunit ribosomal RNA
Source: RNAcentral
AUUUUUCUCUUGGAUGCGAAAUGUUUAGCGGGCAUGGGCUCUCGACCCCCAUUUGUCCGAUGCUAUGCAUUUCACGUGCUCGACACGUACGAUACUUGCAGUCCGCAUUAGGCUCUCUCUGUCGCUCGGUCAGUACGUCGAGGCCCACGCGGUGCCCAACCCUGACUUCUAGAAGGGAUGCAUUUAUUAGAUAAAAGGUUGACACGGGCUAUGCCCGUUGCUCUAAUGAUUCAAGAUAACUCGACGGAUCACACGACCUUUGUGCUGGUGACGCAUCAUUCAAAUUUUUGCCCUAUCAACUUUCAAUGGUAGGAUAGUGGCCUACUAUGGUGGUGACGGGUGACGAAGAAUUAGGGUUCAAUUUCGAAGAAGGAGCCUUAGAAAUGGCUACCACAUCCAAGGAAGGCAGCAGGCGCAUAAAUUACCCAAUCCUGACAUAAGGAGGUAGUGACAAUAAAUAACAAUACUGGGCUCUAUAAGUCUAUUAGUUGGAAUGAGUACAACCUAAAUUCCUUAACGAGGAUCCAUUAGAGGGCAAGUCUGGUGCCAGUAGCCAUGGUAAUUCCAACUCCAAUAGCGUAUAUUUAAAUUGUUGCAAUUAAAAAGCUCGUAGUUGGAACUAGGGUUGGGUCAUCCAGUCUGCCUCAUGGUGAGCAUCGAUCUACUCAUCCCUACUGCCAGUUAUGCUCUCCUGGACUUAAUUACCUGAGUCGUUUCUCUUGCACUGUUACUUUGAAGAAAUUAGAGUGCUAAAAGCAGGCUUAUGCUUGUAUACAUUAACAUGGGAUAACAUCAUAGGAUUUUGGUCCUAUUGUGUUGGCCUUCGGAUCGGAGUAAUGAUUAACAGGGACAGUUGGGGGCAUUCGUAUUUCAUAGUUAGAGGUGAAAUUCUUAGAUUUAUGAAAGACGAACAACUACGAAAGCAUUUGCCAAGGAUGUUUUCAUUAAUCAAGAACGAAAGUUGGGGGCUCAAAAAUGAUCAGAUAUCGUCCUAGUCUCAACCAUAAACGAUGUUGACCAGGGAUGGCGGAUCUUACUUUUAGGACUCCGUUGGCACUUUAUGAGAAAUCAAAGUCUUUGGGUUUCGAGGGGAGUAUGGUCACAAGGCUGAAACUUAAAGGAAUUGAUGGAAGGGCACCACCAGGAGUGGAGCCUACGACUUAAUUUGACUCAACACGGGGAAACUUACCAGUUCCAAACAUAGUAAGGAUUGACAGACUGAGAGCUCUUUCUUGAUUCUAUGGGUGGUGGUGCAUGGUUGGUGGAGCAAUUUGUCUAGUUAAUUUCGUUAAUGAACCAGACCUCAACCUGGUAACUAGCUACGCAGAGGUGAUCCUUCGUGGCUAGCUUCUUAGAGAGACUAUGGCCGCUUAGGCCAAGGAAGUUUGAGGCAAUAACAGGUCUGUGAUACCCUUAGAGAUUCUGGGCCGCACACGCGCUACAUUGAUGUAUUCAACAAGUCUAUAGCCUUGGCUGAUAGGCCCGGGUAAUCUUUGAAAGUUCAUUAUGAUGGGGAUAGAUCAUCGUAAUUGUUGGUCUUCAACGAGGAAUUCCUAGUAAGUGUGAGUCAUCAGCUUACGUUGACUAUGUCCCUGCUAUUUAUACACACCGUCUGUCGCUCCUACCGAUUGAAUGGUCCGGUAAAAAGUUCAGAUCGUGAUGACUUGGACGGUUCACCGCUAGGGAUGUAUCGAGAAGUCCAUUCAACCUUAUCAUUUAGAGGAAGGAAAAGUCGUAAUAAGGUUUUUGUAGGUGAACCUGCAGAAG